This 406-nucleotide ribosomal RNA is filed under the name uncultured bacterium. Its description in RNAcentral is "partial 16S ribosomal RNA". It matches the Rfam family "Bacterial small subunit ribosomal RNA", at positions 30 to 526 of the family's 1533-position model. The record is from RNAcentral.
AUUGAACGCUGGCGGCAGGCCUAACACAUGCAAGUCGAACGAGUGGCGGACGGGUGAGUAAUGUCUGGGAAACUGCCUGAUGGAGGGGGAUAACUACUGGAAACGGUAGCUAAUACCGCAUACCAUAGAAUUUGCCCAGAUGGGAUUAGUUAGUUGGGGGGGUAACGGCUCACCAAGUCGACGAUCCCUAGCUGGUCUGAGAGGAUGACCAGCCAAACUGGAACUGAGACACGGUCCAUACUACUACGGGAGGCAGCAGUGGGGAAUAUUGCACAAUGGGCGCAAGCCGGAUGCAGCCAUGCCGCGUGUAUGAAGAAGGCCUUCGGGUUGUAAAGUACUUUCAGCGGGGAGGCGUUACCCGCAGAAGAAGCACCGGCUAACUCCGUGCCAGCAGCCGCGGUAAUAC